GCCCUCAUCAUCUAGUGGUUAGGAUACCAGUUUGUGGUUCACCGCAUUCAUAAAGCACUGGAAACGGCAGUUCGAUUCCGCCUGAAGGCA
This 90-nucleotide transfer RNA is filed under the name Dactylonectria estremocensis. RNAcentral's name for it is "tRNA-His". It matches the Rfam family "tRNA". From Rfam's summary of the family: Transfer RNA (tRNA) molecules are approximately 80 nucleotides in length. The record is from RNAcentral. Lineage: Eukaryota; Fungi; Ascomycota; Sordariomycetes; Hypocreales; Nectriaceae.